Molecule: long non-coding RNA, 455 nt
Organism: Papaver somniferum (opium poppy)
Lineage: Eukaryota; Viridiplantae; Streptophyta; Magnoliopsida; Ranunculales; Papaveraceae
Exons: 3
Source: RefSeq, a predicted model, not a curated record
UAGGACGAGGUUUUUCUUGAGGAAAAAUCAAGGGGCACAAGUGCAUUCCGGAGGAAGGAGUACCGGUUGGCAGUAUAUUGGUACACACAGGCCCUUGGGAGUGGAAUCUAUCGUAGUGAUGCAGCUGUACUAUCCAACAGAAGUCUGUGCCAUGUCUAUUUGAAUAAUGGAGUUGAUGCUUUAAAAGAUGCUAAACAAUGUGUGUUGGCAAGGCCAGACUGGCCAAGGCUCAUUAUAGGAAAGGAGCAGCACUCAAACUAAUGAAUAUCUGUAUCCUGUUAUUUUUCCUUGUCAGUUAAUUUCUUUUUUUGGAAGUUCCUUUACGAUAAUUGUUGCUGCAAUAAUUGCCACAGAGGCUUGAUGAGGCAGCAGAUGCCUUUUUUGAUGGUUUGAAAUUGGAUCCUGAAAACAAAGAGCUUGAAGCUGCAUUCAGGGAGGUUUGUUUGGCCAAAAUG